AUUGAACGCUGGCGGCAUGCUUUACACAUGCAAGUCGAACGGCAGCGCGGGCUUCGGCCUGGCGGCGAGUGGCGAACGGGUGAGUAAUACAUCGGAACGUGCCCAGUAGUGGGGGAUAGCUCGGCGAUAGCCGGAUUAAUACCGCAUACGACCUGAGGGUGAAAGCGGGGGAUCUUCGGACCUCGCGCUAUUGGACCGGCCGAUGGCAGAUUAGCUAGUUGGUGGGGUAAAGGCCUACCAAGGCGACGAUCUGUAGCUGGUCUGAGAGGACGACCAGCCACACUGGGACUGAGACACGGCCCAGACUCCUACGGGAGGCAGCAGUGGGGAAUUUUGGACAAUGGGCGAAAGCCUGAUCCAGCAAUGCCGCGUGUGUGAUGAAGGCCUUCGGGUUGUAAAGCACUUUUGGCGGGAACGAAAAGGACUGUGCUAAUACCACGGUUCGAUGACGGUACCCGCAGAAUAAGCACCGGCUAACUACGUG
This 484-nucleotide ribosomal RNA is filed under the name uncultured bacterium. Its description in RNAcentral is "partial 16S ribosomal RNA". It matches the Rfam family "Bacterial small subunit ribosomal RNA", at positions 30 to 507 of the family's 1533-position model. The record is from RNAcentral.